RNAcentral lists this ribosomal RNA (237 nucleotides) under uncultured bacterium. RNAcentral's name for it is "partial 16S ribosomal RNA". It matches the Rfam family "Bacterial small subunit ribosomal RNA", at positions 15 to 238 of the family's 1533-position model. The record is from RNAcentral.
GAUCAUGGCUCAGGAUGAACGCUAGCGGCAGGCUUAACACAUGCAAGUCGAGGGGCAGCAUAAUGGAUAGCAAUAUCUAUGGUGGCGACCGGCGCACGGGUGCGUAACGCGUAUGCAACCUACCUUUAACAGGGGGAUAACACUGAGAAAUUGGUACUAAUACCCCAUAAUAUCAUAGAAGGCAUCUUUUAUUGGUUGUAAAAUUACCGUACUGGUUAGUAGAUGGGCGAUGCGUUG